UCUUCGGAGACUGGCUCAGCUGAAAUAUAAGAGUGGACUCCAUUUCAAAUGGCAACGGCUCGACUCGGCGUAAUAAUAUAUUCGCUGAGGACGUUGCAUACAAUGUUUGAAUCGUAGCCGCUUCUACUGCAAUCAGAGCACUGCUCUGAUACACCAUACUUUUAGACCUCAAAUCAGGCAGGGCUACCCGCUGAACUUAA
This 200-nucleotide unclassified non-coding RNA is filed under the name soil metagenome. Its description in RNAcentral is "partial contains internal transcribed spacer 2 and large subunit ribosomal RNA". The record is from RNAcentral.